GAUGCUCACUUCAGCAGCACAGACUAAAACUGGAACAUAACAGAGGAGAUUAGCAUGGUCCUGAGGAGGGAUGAAACACAAAUCCAUUUUUUU
This 93-nucleotide small nuclear RNA is filed under the name Cavia porcellus (domestic guinea pig). Lineage: Eukaryota; Metazoa; Chordata; Mammalia; Rodentia; Caviidae. The record is from RNAcentral.